Molecule: ribosomal RNA, 496 nt
Filed under: uncultured bacterium
Lineage: Bacteria
Description: partial 16S ribosomal RNA
Rfam family: Bacterial small subunit ribosomal RNA
Source: RNAcentral
GAUGAACGCUGGCGGCGUGCCUAAUACAUGCAAGUCGAGCGAACGGACGAGAAGCUUGCUUUUCUGAUGUUAGCGGCGGACGGGUGAGUAACACGUGGAUAACCUACCUAUAAGACUGGGAUAACUUCGGGAAACAGGAGCUAAUACCGGAUAAUAUUUUGAACCGCAUGGUUCAAAAGUGAAAGACGGUCUUGCUGUCACUUAUAGAUGGAUCCGCGCUGCAUUAGCUAGUUGGUAAGGUAACGGCUUACCAAGGCAACGAUGCAUAGCCGACCUGAGAGGGUGAUCGGCCACACUGGAACUGAGACACGGUCCAGACUCCUACGGGAGGCAGCAGUAGGGAAUCUUCCGCAAUGGGCGAAAGCCUGACGGAGCAACGCAGCGUGAGUGAUGAAGGUCUUCGGAUCGUAAAACUCUGUUAUUAGGGAAGAACAUAUGUGUAAGUAACUGUGCACAUCUUGACGGUACCUAAUCAGAAAGCCACGGCUAACUACGU